This 303-nucleotide ribosomal RNA is filed under the name uncultured bacterium. RNAcentral describes it as "partial 16S ribosomal RNA". It matches the Rfam family "Bacterial small subunit ribosomal RNA", at positions 507 to 808 of the family's 1533-position model. The record is from RNAcentral.
AGCAGUAGCCGCGGUAAAACGUAGGUCCCGAGCGUUGUCCGGAUUUAUUGGGCGUAAAGGGAGCGCAGGCGGUUUAGUAAGUCUGAAGUUAAAGGCAUUGGCUCAACCAAUGUAUGCUUUGGAAACUGUUAGACUUGAGUGCAGAAGGGGAGAGUGGAAUUCCAUGUGUAGCGGUGAAAUGCGUAGAUAUAUGGAGGAACACCGGUGGCGAAAGCGGCUCUCUGGUCUGUCACUGACGCUGAGGCUCGAAAGCGUGGGGAGCAAACAGGAUUAGAUACCCCCGUAGUCCCUGUCUCUUAUACA